CAACUUCUAACGGUGGAUCUCUUGGCUCGUGCAUCGAUGAAGAACGUAGCCAGUUGCGAUAAGUAGUGUGAAUUGCAGAAUUCAGUGAAUCAUCGAAUCUUUGAACGCAAAUUGCGCUCUCUGGAUAUCCAGGGAGCAUGCCUGUUUGAGUGUCGUCU
Molecule: ribosomal RNA, 158 nt
Filed under: Distichopora sp.
Lineage: Eukaryota; Metazoa; Cnidaria; Hydrozoa; Anthoathecata; Stylasteridae
Description: 5.8S ribosomal RNA
Rfam family: 5.8S ribosomal RNA
About the family: 5.8S ribosomal RNA (5.8S rRNA) is a component of the large subunit of the eukaryotic ribosome.
Source: RNAcentral